GAUGAACGCUGGCGGCGUGCCUAAUACAUGCAAGUCGAGCGAACGGACGAGAAGCUUGCUUCUCUGAUGUUAGCGGCGGACGGGUGAGUAACACGUGGAUAACCUACCUAUAAGACUGGGAUAACUUCGGGAAACCGGAGCUAAUACCGGAUAAUAUUUUGAACCGCAUGGUUCAAAAGUGAAAGACGGUCUUGCUGUCACUUAUAGAUGGAUCCGCGCUGCAUUAGCUAGUUGGUAAGGUAACGGCUUACCAAGGCAACGAUGCAUAGCCGACCUGAGAGGGUGAUCGGCCACACUGGAACUGAGAGACGGUCCAGACUCCUACGGGAGGCAGCAGUAGGGAAUCUUCCGCAAUGGGCGAAAGCCUGACGGAGCAACGCCGCGUGAGUGAUGAAGGUCUUCGGAUCGUAAAACUCUGUUAUUAGGGAAGAACAUAUGUGUAAGUAACUGUGCACAUCUUGACGGUACCGAAUCAGAAAGCCACGGCUAACUACGU
Molecule: ribosomal RNA, 496 nt
Filed under: uncultured bacterium
Lineage: Bacteria
Description: partial 16S ribosomal RNA
Rfam family: Bacterial small subunit ribosomal RNA
Source: RNAcentral